This 780-nucleotide ribosomal RNA is filed under the name uncultured Colwellia sp. Its description in RNAcentral is "bacterial SSU rRNA". It matches the Rfam family "Bacterial small subunit ribosomal RNA", at positions 388 to 1160 of the family's 1533-position model. Lineage: Bacteria; Pseudomonadati; Pseudomonadota; Gammaproteobacteria; Alteromonadales; Colwelliaceae. The record is from RNAcentral.
GCAGCCAUGCCGCGUGUGUGAAGAAGGCCUUCGGGUUGUAAAGCACUUUCAGUUGUGAGGAAAGGGGUGUAGUUAAUAGCUGCAUUCUGUGACGUUAACAACAGAAGAAGCACCGGCUAACUUCGUGCCAGCAGCCGCGGUAAUACGAGGGGUGCAAGCGUUAAUCGGAAUUACUGGGCGUAAAGCGUACGUAGGCGGUUUGAUAAGCAAGAUGUGAAAGCCCAGGGCUCAACCUUGGAACUGCAUUUUGAACUGUCAGACUAGAGUACUGUAGAGGGUGGUGGAAUUUCCAGUGUAGCGGUGAAAUGCGUAGAGAUUGGAAGGAACAUCAGUGGCGAAGGCGGCCACCUGGACAGAUACUGACGCUGAGGUACGAAAGCGUGGGGAGCGAACAGGAUUAGAUACCCUGGUAGUCCACGCCGUAAACGAUGUCAACUAGCCGUUUGUUUCCUAGAGAAGUGAGUGGCGCAGCUAACGCACUAAGUUGACCGCCUGGGGAGUACGGCCGCAAGGUUAAAACUCAAAUGAAUUGACGGGGGCCCGCACAAGCGGUGGAGCAUGUGGUUUAAUUCGAUGCAACGCGAAGAACCUUACCAUCCCUUGACAUCCAGAGAAGCGACUAGAGAUAGACGUGUGCCUUCGGGAACUCUGUGACAGGUGCCGCAUGGCUGUCGUCAGCUCGUGUUGUGAAAUGUUGGGUUAAGUCCCGCAACGAGCGCAACCCCUAUCCUUAUUUGCCAGCGCGUAAUGGCGGGAACUCUAAGGAGACUGCCGGUGAUA